RNAcentral lists this ribosomal RNA (428 nucleotides) under uncultured prokaryote. RNAcentral's name for it is "bacterial SSU rRNA". It matches the Rfam family "Bacterial small subunit ribosomal RNA", at positions 355 to 774 of the family's 1533-position model. The record is from RNAcentral.
UGGGGAAUAUUGCGCAAUGGGCGAAAGCCUGACGCAGCAACGCCGUGUGAGGGAUGAAGGCUUUCGGGUCGUAAACCUCUGUCGGAAGGGAAGAACGGGCAUUGGUCUAAUAGGCCUUUGUUUUGACGGUACCUUUAGAGGAAGCACCGGCUAACUCCGUGCCAGCAGCCGCGGUAAUACGGAGGGUGCAAGCGUUAUUCGGAAUUACUGGGCGUAAAGCGCACGUAGGCGGCUUCGUAAGUCAGGGGUGAAAUCCCACGGCUCAACCGUGGAACUGCCUUUGAAACUGCAAAGCUUGAAUCCUGGAGAGGGUGGCGGAAUUGCUGGUGUAGGAGUGAAAUCCGUAGAUAUCAGGAGGAACACCGGUGGCGAAGGCGGCCACAUGGACAGGUAUUGACGCUGAGGUGCGAAAGCGUGGGGAUCAAACA